Oncorhynchus keta (chum salmon) is the source of this 518-nucleotide long non-coding RNA. RefSeq lists it as uncharacterized. The transcript has 3 exons. Lineage: Eukaryota; Metazoa; Chordata; Actinopteri; Salmoniformes; Salmonidae. The record is from RefSeq and is a predicted model, not a curated record.
UGAUGGAGGCUAUUUGAGUGUGAAAAACCAUACAGUUAGCCAUUGUUAGUUACCGUUAGCAGCUAACUAGCGUUGCCUAGAUAACGUCAAUCAACCAAGUCCUGUCUCCAACGCGAAUUAAAGACUACAUGGGGAACGGGGCAGAACGACAGAUUUUUACCUCGUCAGCUUGGGGGAUCCAAUCUUGCAACCUUACAGUUAACUAGACCAACGCUCUAACCACCUGAUUACAUUGUACUCCACGAGGAGCCUGGCUGUUACGCGAAUGCAGUAAGCCAAGAUGGCAGAGAAAAGCAGAGCACCAGUGUGGGACUAUUACAUGGAAUUGACACCUGGGAAAGCAAGGUGUCUUAUUUGUGAUAAAGAUGUAAGCAUGGGGUCAGCAACGGCUAAUCAAAAAAUACCACCAACCUGUGGAAUCACCUUAAGAACACCCAUCCAAAAGCCCAUAAUAUGUAUUAUAUUAAGUUAAAAUAAAAGUGUUCAUUCAGUAUUGUUGCAAUUGUAAUUGUUACAAA